GAUAAAACUCAAAGACGAGGCAUGAAGUUCUCGUUCAAAGUAAAGAAUACAGUUGUCAAUGCCUUAAAGACAAAUUUAAAAGGUGUGAUUGUCCUUACUUGAACAGUAGAAAUUUUUGAGGAUGAUUGUUUAGGUGAUCACAAUCCUAAUCAACCUUGUGAGAAUUUGGUACCAAGUACUUCUCAAGAUGAAAAUCCAUGUGAGCG
RNAcentral lists this unclassified non-coding RNA (206 nucleotides) under Hevea brasiliensis (rubber tree). Lineage: Eukaryota; Viridiplantae; Streptophyta; Magnoliopsida; Malpighiales; Euphorbiaceae. The record is from RNAcentral.